UGCUGUGAGGAUGAUCUGACUGUAGCAUCUGUCACCCCACUGAUUUCAGAUGUCCCCUUCCUCCCUUCAUCAAGGCGUUUCUUCGAGAGUCACGUGCUCUGUGGAAGAGGACAAUCAUUCCCGGUAGAAAAGGACCUUCCUCUGUCAAGGGUGUGAGCAUAGCUGCUCUCCCCUGCUAGAAUCUUCACACAAGCUCUCAGUUUUUAUAUGUUCAAUGUUGGAUUUGUGUUCUUUACGUAUGAAGGAACUCUAAUUUGGAUUUCCUU
Molecule: unclassified non-coding RNA, 266 nt
Organism: Cavia porcellus (domestic guinea pig)
Lineage: Eukaryota; Metazoa; Chordata; Mammalia; Rodentia; Caviidae
Gene: 7SK
Rfam family: 7SK RNA
About the family: 7SK was discovered as an abundant small nuclear RNA in the mid-70s but a possible function has only recently been suggested. Two independent studies have found that 7SK RNA binds the CDK9/cyclin T complex (known as elongation factor P-TEFb).
Source: Ensembl